Medicago truncatula (barrel medic) is the source of this 772-nucleotide long non-coding RNA. RefSeq lists it as uncharacterized. NCBI's taxonomy places the organism in Eukaryota, Viridiplantae, Streptophyta, Magnoliopsida, Fabales, Fabaceae. The record is from RefSeq and is a predicted model, not a curated record. The transcript is spliced from 2 exons.
GUAUUUUCCGUUGCUUAUAUAUAGCAGUAAUACUAGUACUGAGAUUCAACACGCAACACGUAUAUUUUAGCUCAGUUAACUCUGCCGCCGCAACUCAACUCUGCAGCAAAUCCAAUGGAUAAAGAUGGUGAUGCAGGUCAGAAACUAUUAACCAUGGAAGAAGCAAUAGCGUUUGUAAGUGAUGUAAAAGUUAAGUUUCAAGACAAGAGGGAAAAGUAUAAUGAAUUUUUGAAAAUCCUAGGUGAUUACAGGGCUCAAAUAAUUGAUAUAGAAGGUGUCACAACAAGAAUAGAGGAUCUGUUUAAAGGGCAUUCAGAUUUAAUUUUAAAAUUCAAAUACUUUUUGCCAAACCGAUCUGGAAUCAGUGAUGACACCGAAGAAAAGGAAGAAGACUCUGAACAAAACCCACCUGAUAGAUUAGGGUCGCCAACUCAAGAAGUUAAACUUCUGUCUCAAAAGACUGAUACAAUAUGAGGGAAUUUGGAGGAGAAGAAGCAAGUAUAACUUAGGAUUCAUAUGCUGUCAAUGUAUUUCAAAAAAAGUGAUUUGUUUAUACCUUCAAUUAAAUAAUUCGAAGAAUAUUUUUUAUAUACUACAUCUAGGUUGAGUAAGUUUAUUUUUUUUUAUGUGUUACUAAUUGAAUGUUUUUUCUAGGAUAUUUGGAAAAACGACCGAGGUAUUAUUGGACCGAGAGGUUUAGAUAUGUUAGAGAAAUGAUAUUUCUAUAAUCAAUUUGUGAUAACUAUUGUGGCAACUAUGUUUUUCAUACUCA